GUUCACUUUUGCUCCAAUAUGCUCUUUUGACUUAACUUCAAGCUUUGGGUUGAUGUGGGUAGGGUAGUGUCAAACUGUUUUAAGAGGAAUUGGACCAGUUCUGCUGCCUAAGAAGGUCUGUCUGGAUGUUUAUAGGCAGCUCCUCUGAAGUGGCCUAAAUUCACCCUGAUCUGAUAGUUUUCCUGCCUAGAAAGUGUGCCUUGGCCAGAUCAGUAUCCCACAUGGGAGUGUUCCCUAGGUUGUAGCGUGAUUGUUUCCAGAUGACCAGAUUGUUUUUCUGAAAAUGAGCAUAUUUUUAGUCAUGUUGAUUAGCUGUUCUUCUACAUCACAUUGUUACUCUUUCUGAUGAUGAUUCUAGGGUUAACAUUGGAACCAUCUCAAAAUAAUUACAAAUUUUUAGAUGGGUUUACAAUGUCUUCUAAACAAUAUAAUCUAAAAAUAAUUGAGUCAGAUGCUAACGAGAUACUGAAGGCAUAACUGCUGUUUUUCUGGCAACUGAUUAUGAAACCUUAAAACCUGCAUACCUCUUCUUAUAGUGAGGAAUAUUCAAAAUCUGGAAAGAUAUUCUAUUUUUUUAUAUAGGUAGAUAGGAUCACCAUUUAUUUCCUAUUUAGAUAUACUGACAUUCAUCCAUAUGAAAAUAUGCAGGUCAUUAGCUUACUAUAAUUUUACUAUUUACUUUUGACUUAAUGGGGCAUAAAUAAAACUUUCUUAGUACACAUGAGGUGGAUAUUUGAUACACAGAACAUUUGUGGUGGGCUUUCUGUGGGUUAGAUGUAAAGCCCACGUAUUUUAAUAUUCACUAUUUUAAAUGAGCAAUGCAUGAGGGGAAUGCAGUGUCAGUACCUGGCCUAUUUUUAAACUAGUGUAAUCACCCUAGUCAUACCAUUCAGUAUGUUUGCUUUUUAAAAUAAGUAACCACAAUUAAGUUGUUGUAGCCCUUGCACUUCAAGAGAUUUAGUCCUUCCUUUCAGUUGUCUGUUAGGUCCAUUCUGUUUACUAGACGGAUGUUAAUAAAAACUAUGUGAGCCUGAACGUAUUCUCGGCCAAAUUUAGUCUUGUCUCUCAUCUUGAUUGGAUUAAUUCUAAAGUCUAAAAUGAUUCAGUCCACAAUAGCUCUAGG
RNAcentral lists this long non-coding RNA (1123 nucleotides) under Homo sapiens (human). RNAcentral describes it as "LHRI_LNC998.1". The record is from RNAcentral. Lineage: Eukaryota; Metazoa; Chordata; Mammalia; Primates; Hominidae.